RNAcentral lists this ribosomal RNA (596 nucleotides) under uncultured bacterium. Its description in RNAcentral is "bacterial SSU rRNA". It matches the Rfam family "Bacterial small subunit ribosomal RNA", at positions 797 to 1398 of the family's 1533-position model. The record is from RNAcentral.
ACGCCCUAAACGAUGUCGACUAGUUGUCGGGGAUUUACAUCCUCGGUAACGCAGCUAACGCGUGAAGUCGACCGCCUGGGGAGUACGGUCGCAAGAUUAAAACUCAAAGGAAUUGACGGGGACCCGCACAAGCGGUGGAUGAUGUGGAUUAAUUCGAUGCAACGCGAAAAACCUUACCUACCCUUGACAUGCCCGGAAGCUCGCAGAGAUGUGAGCGUGCCCGAAAGGGAGCCGGGACACAGGUGCUGCAUGGCUGUCGUCAGCUCGUGUCGUGAGAUGUUGGGUUAAGUCCCGCAACGAGCGCAACCCUUGUCACUAGUUGCUACGAAAGGGCACUCUAGUGAGACUGCCGGUGACAAACCGGAGGAAGGUGGGGAUGACGUCAAGUCCUCAUGGCCCUUAUGGGUAGGGCUUCACACGUCAUACAAUGGCCGGUACAAAGGGCUGCCAACCCGCGAGGGGGAGCCAAUCCCAGAAAACCGGUCGUAGUCCGGAUUGCAGUCUGCAACUCGACUGCAUGAAGUCGGAAUCGCUAGUAAUCGCGGAUCAGCAUGUCGCGGUGAAUACGUUCCCGGGUCUUGCACUCACCGCCCGUC